AUUGAACGCUGGCGGCAUGCUUUACACAUGCAAGUCGAACGGCAGCGCGGGCUUCGGCCUGGCGGCGAGUGGCGAACGGGUGAGUAAUGCAUCGGAACGUGCCCAGUAGUGGGGGAUAGCCCGGCGAAAGCCGGAUUAAUACCGCAUACGACCUGAGGGUGAAAGCGGGGGACCGAAAGGCCUCGCGCUUUUGGAGCGGCCGAUGUCGGAUUAGCUAGUUGGUGGGGUAAAGGCUUACCAAGGCGACGAUCCGUAGCUGGUCUGAGAGGACGACCAGCCACACUGGGACAGAGACACGGCGCAGACUCCUACGGGAGGCAGCAGUGGGGAAUUUUGGACAAUGGGGGCAACCCUGAUCCAGCCAUGCCGCGUGCGGGAAGAAGGCCUUCGGGUUGUAAACCGCUUUUGUUCGGGAAGAAAUCCUCUGGGCUAAUACCCCGGGGGGAUGACGGUACCGGAAGAAUAAGCACCGGCUAACUACGUG
This 484-nucleotide ribosomal RNA is filed under the name uncultured bacterium. RNAcentral's name for it is "partial 16S ribosomal RNA". It matches the Rfam family "Bacterial small subunit ribosomal RNA", at positions 28 to 507 of the family's 1533-position model. The record is from RNAcentral.